AGAAUGAAAUCCUUGGGUGUUUCCCUCGUGGUCCUGUGGCUUCAGUUAGACUGUGUGAGCAGCCAGCAGAAGGUGCAGCAGAACCCAGAAUCCCUCAGUGUCCCAGAGGGAGUCAUGGCCUCUCUCAACUGCACUUUCAGUGAUAGUGCUUCUCUGAACUUCUGGUGGUACAGACAUCGUCCUGGGAAAGGCCCUGAGGUGCUCAUGUCCAUCUUCUCCAAUGGUGAAAAGGAAGACAGCAGAUUCACAGUUCACCUCAAUAAAGCCAGCCUGCAUGUUUCCUUGCACAUCAGAGACUCCCAGCCCAGUGACUCAGCUGUCUACCUGUGUGCAGUGAACACACAGUGCUCCCCAGGCCCUUGCAGCCUGCACACAAACCCACUGGGCUGCAUCAAGGCCUGA
Non-coding RNA from Phodopus roborovskii (desert hamster), 402 nucleotides. Lineage: Eukaryota; Metazoa; Chordata; Mammalia; Rodentia; Cricetidae. The record is from the annotation of a RefSeq genome assembly.